UUGAACGCUGGCGGCAGGCCUAACACAUGCAAGUCGAGCGGCAGCGGGAAAGUAGCUUGCUACUUUUGCCGGCGAGCGGCGGACGGGUGAGUAAUGCCUGGGAAAUUGCCCAGUCGAGGGGGAUAACAGUUGGAAACGACUGCUAAUACCGCAUACGCCCUACGGGGGAAAGCAGGGGACCUUCGGGCCUUGCGCGAUUGGAUAUGCCCAGGUGGGAUUAGCUUGUUGGUGAGGUAAUGGCUCACCAAGGCGACGAUCCCUAGCUGGUCUGAGAGGAUGAUCAGCCACACUGGAACUGACACACGGUCCAGACUCCUACGGGAGGCAGCAGUGGGGAAUAUUGCACAAUGGGGGAAACCCUGAUGCAGCCAUGCCGCGUGUGUGAAGAAGGCCUUCGGGUUGUAAAGCACUUUCAGCGAGGAGGAAAGGUUGAUACCUAAUACGUAUCAGCUGUGACGUUACUCGCAGAAGAAGCACCGGCUAACUCCGUGCCAGCAGCCGCGGUAAUACGGAGGGUGCAAGCGUUAAUCGGAAUUACUGGGCG
This 544-nucleotide ribosomal RNA is filed under the name uncultured bacterium. RNAcentral's name for it is "bacterial SSU rRNA". It matches the Rfam family "Bacterial small subunit ribosomal RNA", at positions 29 to 560 of the family's 1533-position model. The record is from RNAcentral.